This 438-nucleotide ribosomal RNA is filed under the name uncultured Glomus. RNAcentral describes it as "SSU rRNA". It matches the Rfam family "Eukaryotic small subunit ribosomal RNA", at positions 569 to 1017 of the family's 1831-position model. Lineage: Eukaryota; Fungi; Glomeromycota; Glomeromycetes; Glomerales; Glomeraceae. The record is from RNAcentral.
AGCAGCCGCGGUAAUUCCAGCUCCAAUAGCGUAUAUUAAAGUUGUUGCAGUUAAAAAGCUCGUAGUUGAAUUUCGGGGUUAGUAGAUUGGUCAUGCCUCUGGUAUGCACUGGUCUUACUGAUUCCUCCUUCCUGAUGAACCGUAAUGCCAUUAAUUUGGUGUUGCGGGGAAACUGGACUGUUACUUUGAAAAAUUGAGUGUUUAAAGCAGGCUAACGCUUGAAUACAUUAGCAUGGAAUAAUGAAAUGGACGUUCGAUCUUAUUUUGUUGGUUCUAGGAUUGACGUAAUGAUUAAUAGGGAUAGUUGGGGGCAUUAGUAUUCAAUUGUCAGAGGUNAAAUUCUUGGAUCUAUUGAAGACUAACUACUGCGAAAGCAUUUGCCAAGGAUGUUUCAUUAGUCAAGAACGAAGUUAGGGGAUCGAAGACGAUCAGAUACCG